GGGUUGUGAGGUUAAGCGACUAAGCGUACACGGUGGAUGCCCUGGCAGUCAGAGGCGAUGAAGGGCGUGCUAAUCUGCGAUAAGCGCCGGUAAGGUGAUAUGAACCGUUAUAACCGGCGAUACCCGAAUGGGGAAACCCAGUGUGACUCGUCACACUAUCAUUAACUGAAUCCAUAGGUUAAUGAGGCGAACCGGGGGAACUGAAACAUCUAAGUACCCCGAGGAAAAGAAAUCAACCGAGAUUCCCCAGUAGCGGCGAGCGAACGGGGAGGAGCCCAGAGCCUGAAUCAGCAUGUGUGUUAGUGGAAGCGUCUGGAAAGGCGCGCGAUACAGGGUGACAGCCCGUACACAAAAGCGCAUGUGCUGUGAGCUCGAUGAGUAGGGCGGGACACGUGGUAUCCUGUCUGAAUAUGGGGGGACCAUCCUCCAAGGCUAAAUACUCCUGACUGACCGAUAGUGAACCAGUACCGUGAGGGAAAGGCGAAAAGAACCCCGGCGAGGGGAGUGAAAAAGAACCUGAAACCGUGUACGUACAAGCAGUGGGAGCACAGGUUUACCUGUGUGACUGCGUACCUUUUGUAUAAUGGGUCAGCGACUUAUAUUCUGUAGCAAGGUUAACCGAAUAGGGGAGCCGGAGGGAAACCGAGUCUUAAUUGGGCGUUAAGUUGCAGGGUAUAGACCCGAAACCCGGUGAUCUAGCCAUGGGCAGGUUGAAGGUUGGGUAACACUAACUGGAGGACCGAACCGACUAAUGUUGAAAAAUUAGCGGAUGACCUGUGGCUGGGGGUGAAAGGCCAAUCAAACCGGGAGAUAGCUGGUUCUCCCCGAAAGCUAUUUAGGUAGCGCCUCGUGAACUCAUCUCCGGGGUAGAGCACUGUUUCGGCUAGGGGGCCAUCCCGGCUUACCAACCCGAUGCAAACUGCGAAUACCGGAGAAUGUUAUCACGGGAGACACACGGCGGGUGCUAACGUCCGUCGUGAAGAGGGAAACAACCCAGACCGCCAGCUAAGGUCCCAAAGUCAUGGUUAAGUGGGAAACGAUGUGGGAAGGCCCAGACAGCCAGGAUGUUGGCUUAGAAGCAGCCAUCAUUUAAAGAAAGCGUAAUAGCUCACUGGUCGAGUCGGCCUGCGCGGAAGAUGUAACGGGGCUAAACCAUGCACCGAAGCUGCGGCAGCGACACUGUGUGUUGUUGGGUAGGGGAGCGUUCUGUAAGCCUGUGAAGGUGGCCUGUGAGGGUUGCUGGAGGUAUCAGAAGUGCGAAUGCUGACAUAAGUAACGAUAAAGCGGGUGAAAAGCCCGCUCGCCGGAAGACCAAGGGUUCCUGUCCAACGUUAAUCGGGGCAGGGUGAGUCGACCCCUAAGGCGAGGCCGAAAGGCGUAGUCGAUGGGAAACAGGUUAAUAUUCCUGUACUUGGUGUUACUGCGAAGGGGGGACGGAGAAGGCUAUGUUGGCCGGGCGACGGUUGUCCCGGUUUAAGCGUGUAGGCUGGUUUUCCAGGCAAAUCCGGAAAAUCAAGGCUGAGGCGUGACGACGAGGCACUACGGUGCUGAAGCAACAAAUGCCCUGCUUCCAGGAAAAGCCUCUAAGCAUCAGGUAACAUCAAAUCGUACCCCAAACCGACACAGGUGGUCAGGUAGAGAAUACCAAGGCGCUUGAGAGAACUCGGGUGAAGGAACUAGGCAAAAUGGUGCCGUAACUUCGGGAGAAGGCACGCUGACACGUAGGUGAAGUGAUUUACUCACGGAGCUGAAGUCAGUCGAAGAUACCAGCUGGCUGCAACUGUUUAUUAAAAACACAGCACUGUGCAAACACGAAAGUGGACGUAUACGGUGUGACGCCUGCCCGGUGCCGGAAGGUUAAUUGAUGGGGUCAGCGCAAGCGAAGCUCCUGAUCGAAGCCCCGGUAAACGGCGGCCGUAACUAUAACGGUCCUAAGGUAGCGAAAUUCCUUGUCGGGUAAGUUCCGACCUGCACGAAUGGCGUAAUGAUGGCCAGGCUGUCUCCACCCGAGACUCAGUGAAAUUGAACUCGCUGUGAAGAUGCAGUGUACCCGCGGCAAGACGGAAAGACCCCGUGAACCUUUACUAUAGCUUGACACUGAACAUUGAGCCUUGAUGUGUAGGAUAGGUGGGAGGCUUUGAAGCGUGGACGCCAGUCUGCGUGGAGCCGACCUUGAAAUACCACCCUUUAAUGUUUGAUGUUCUAACGUGGACCCGUUACCCGGGUUGCGGACAGUGUCUGGUGGGUAGUUUGACUGGGGCGGUCUCCUCCUAAAGAGUAACGGAGGAGCACGAAGGUUGGCUAAUCCUGGUCGGACAUCAGGAGGUUAGUGCAAUGGCAUAAGCCAGCUUGACUGCGAGCGUGACGGCGCGAGCAGGUGCGAAAGCAGGUCAUAGUGAUCCGGUGGUUCUGAAUGGAAGGGCCAUCGCUCAACGGAUAAAAGGUACUCCGGGAUAACAGGCUGAUACCGCCCAAGAGUUCAUAUCGACGGCGGUGUUUGGCACCUCGAUGUCGGCUCAUCACAUCCUGGGGCUGAAGUAGGUCCCAAGGGUAUGGCUGUUCGCCAUUUAAAGUGGUACGCGAGCUGGGUUUAGAACGUCGUGAGACAGUUCGGUCCCUAUCUGCCGUGGGCGCUGGAGAACUGAGGGGGGCUGCUCCUAGUACGAGAGGACCGGAGUGGACGCAUCACUGGUGUUCGGGUUGUCAUGCCAAUGGCACUGCCCGGUAGCUAAAUGCGGAAGAGAUAAGUGCUGAAAGCAUCUAAGCACGAAACUUGCCCCGAGAUGAGUUCUCCCUGAGACUUAGAGUCUCCUGAAGGAACGUUGAAGACGACGACGUUGAUAGGCCGGGUGUGUAAGCGCAGCGAUGCGUUGAGCUAACCGGUACUAAUGAACCGUGAGGCUUAACCUUACAACGCCGAAGCUGUU
RNAcentral lists this ribosomal RNA (2927 nucleotides) under Salmonella enterica subsp. enterica serovar Newport str. CVM 21554. RNAcentral's name for it is "bacterial LSU rRNA". It matches the Rfam family "Bacterial large subunit ribosomal RNA". Lineage: Bacteria; Pseudomonadati; Pseudomonadota; Gammaproteobacteria; Enterobacterales; Enterobacteriaceae. The record is from RNAcentral.